Molecule: ribosomal RNA, 372 nt
Filed under: uncultured bacterium
Lineage: Bacteria
Description: bacterial SSU rRNA
Rfam family: Bacterial small subunit ribosomal RNA
Source: RNAcentral
UACGGAGGAUCCGAGCGUUAUCCGGAAUCAUUGGGUUUAAAGGGUCCGUAGGUGGACGAUUAAGUCGGAGGUGAAAUCCUGCAGCUCAACUGUAGAAUUGCCUUUGAUACUGGUUGUCUUGAAUCAUUGUGAAGUGGUUAGAAUAUGUGGUGUAGCGGUGAAAUGCAUAGAUAUCACAUAGAAUACCGAUUGCGAAGGCAGAUCACUAACAAUGUAUUGACACUGAUGGACGAAAGCGUGGGGAGCGAACAGGAUUAGAUACCCUGGUAGUCCACGCCGUAAACGAUGGAUACUAGCUGUCCGGGCUUCGGCCUGGGUGGCUAAGCGAAAGUGAUAAGUAUCCCACCUGGGGAGUACGUUCGCAAGAAUGAA